Molecule: ribosomal RNA, 207 nt
Filed under: uncultured bacterium
Lineage: Bacteria
Description: partial 16S ribosomal RNA
Rfam family: Bacterial small subunit ribosomal RNA
Source: RNAcentral
CGCGCAGGCGGCCGUUUAAGUCAGAUGUGAAAUCCCGGGGCUUAACCCCGGAAGUGCAUUUGAUACUGGAUGGCUUGAGUAUGGGAGAGGGAAGUGGAAUUCCUGGUGUAGAGGUGAAAUUCGUAGAUAUCAGGAGGAACACCGGUGGCGAAGGCGACUUCCUGGACCAAUACUGACGCUGAGGCGCGAAGGCGUGGGGAGCAAACA